Molecule: unclassified non-coding RNA, 668 nt
Filed under: Hevea brasiliensis (rubber tree)
Lineage: Eukaryota; Viridiplantae; Streptophyta; Magnoliopsida; Malpighiales; Euphorbiaceae
Source: RNAcentral
GAUCGCUCAACCUUUUUCUUGACAGGACAAUUGGGAUGUGUACAUUUAUAAUAACUUCGUGGAAAUUCACUGCCUUUCACCUGUUUCUGCCCAUAUUUUCGCCAAUUGUAGCCAUCAUCAGUAGGUUUAUCAACAACAAGUGAAGAAGCUUGGGAUCUUUGAUCAGAAUGAGAGAAGUCUGAAGAUUCAUUAAUGGAAGCACUAGGAUCUGGGAUUGAGGAUAGCAUCUUCUGGUGAGUAGUUGAAUUAGUUGUGACAGAGGAAAACUGUGUUGAAGAUGUUGCCGGUGCUGAUGGUAAAGAAGAUGAAUAGUGUGCUUGAAUGUGCAUAUUAGAAUGGGCUUGUGCAGCCUGGGCAGUAACCUGAGCUAGAGCCUGCUGGUGAGUCAUUCCAAUGUGUCCCUGAGCAGAUAAGAGCCCGAAACCUGGUGAAUCAAGAAGAGCCAUCGGACUCAGCCCCGGGGGCACAGUGAACAUCGGCGACGGCGGAGAGAUGGACAAACUAGUCGGCCUGCUGACGUCAGCAACGGAGGUUUUACUUUUAUCCUCCGGAGGAAGAGGAGGAAAGGGAGGUUUGUUGUUGCUAUUGGCAGCGGGAGAGACCAUGGCGCCGGCGAGAAGCUGGGAGAAAGAUUUAAAAUCAUCGGAAUCGGAGAAGAAACUAGAGAC